UGGGCCUGGAUGGCUAUGAUCCAAGACAGGCAGCAGAGCUCAAAGCAUUACCAGGUAACACUCUAAUACUUUUGUCAGGAGGGAGGAGCUCCACCCAUCAGGAAUUAGUAUCACCCUUUUUUGGGACAAUAAAAAGAGGGAAAUAACCUUUAGUUUUUUUAAAGUCAAUAUUGUUGUUUUUUUGUUUUAUCUAGCUCCUUUACACAUUUGCUGCACAUAUCUACCUGACACACACCACAGACCCUGUCCCCACCUCCAU
Pelobates cultripes (western spadefoot toad) is the source of this 259-nucleotide non-coding RNA. The record is from the annotation of a GenBank genome assembly. NCBI's taxonomy places the organism in Eukaryota, Metazoa, Chordata, Amphibia, Anura, Pelobatidae.